GAAAAUCAGGCGAUCAGGCUCACCCGACGCCGCCACAUGACCGCAGCUGCGCUCGCUCGACCGAGGCGGCACGACAGGCGGCCAGGCUCCUGUUGCGCCUUCCUCCUUUCUCGGUGCCUCCUCCUCGCGGUCGCAGGCUCGCAGCCAGGGCGUGGUCGUGGCCUGUGGGUGCCUGUUCACGGCCUCGCAGGGAGCAGCCGAGCAGGCCCCCUGACGCCAGCUCACGGCUGCGGCGGCCACCGAGGCGCAGGCAGGCAGCGCCGCAGGGGCUGGGGCGUAGGGCGUGGCCUGGCCGGCUGCCCGGCUCACCCCCUCGACAGUGAUUCGGUGAAGCCACCAGGGAGCCCCUGAUCCACCCUUGUCCAGAAGCUGAAGGCAUGAGUGAGUUAAAUGAAGGAGUUGUUAUUAAGGACAUAGAGGUGGAAGAGGCGAAUGCAACAAAUCUUCACUAGACAAUGGGGUCUAACGCCUCAGCCAGUAGCACUGCACCAGUACCGUCACGUCACCUCGCCUUGCUGUGCACACUACUACUAAUAAAAAGGAACAAAAGUUUAUCUUCAUGUGCCCAAGAGCUCCUCUAGUACCAUUAGCCGCUGCAGGACUCAAGAUAUUGACUAUCGUACCAGCCAAAACAGUUCCAGAGUACACACGAACAAUGGCAAUUGGUUCAUG
Molecule: long non-coding RNA, 672 nt
Organism: Sorghum bicolor (sorghum)
Lineage: Eukaryota; Viridiplantae; Streptophyta; Magnoliopsida; Poales; Poaceae
Exons: 5
Source: RefSeq, a predicted model, not a curated record